RNAcentral lists this transfer RNA (67 nucleotides) under Eigenmannia humboldtii. RNAcentral describes it as "tRNA-Ser". Lineage: Eukaryota; Metazoa; Chordata; Actinopteri; Gymnotiformes; Sternopygidae. The record is from RNAcentral.
CAAAGAGGCCGAGAAGCAAUAAGAACUGCUAAUUCUUACCCCCGUGGUUAAACUCCACGGCUCUAUC